This 605-nucleotide ribosomal RNA is filed under the name uncultured bacterium. RNAcentral's name for it is "bacterial SSU rRNA". The stretch from base 1 to 513 matches the Rfam family "Bacterial small subunit ribosomal RNA", at positions 338 to 873 of the family's 1533-position model. The record is from RNAcentral.
CCUACGGGAGGCAGCAGUGGGGAAUCUUGCGCAAUGGACGAAAGUCUGACGCAGCCAUGCCGCGUGAGUGAUGAAGGUCUUAGGAUUGUAAAGCUCUUUCGCUCGCGACGAUGAUGACGGUAGCGAGAGAAGAAGCCCCGGCUAACUUCGUGCCAGCAGCCGCGGUGAUACGAAGGGGGCUAGCGUUGUUCGGAAUUACUGGGCGUAAAGCGUGCGCAGGCGGUUUUUUAAGCCAGAGGUGAAAUCCCGGAGCUCAACUUCGGAAUGGCCUUUGGAACUGGAAAGCUUGAGAACGGUAGAGGUGAGUGGAAUUCCCAGUGUAGAGGUGAAAUUCGUAGAUAUUGGGAAGAACACCGGUGGCGAAGGCGGCUCACUGGACCGUUUCUGACGCUCAGGCACGAAAGCGUGGGGAGCAAACAGGAUUAGAUACCCUGGUAGUCCACGCCUUAAACGAUGGAUGCUAGCCGUUGUGNGNNNGCUCUCNGUGCGCNGCUACGCGUGAGCGACUCCGCCGUGGGAGGUACGGCCGGCGAACGGUUAAACGUUAAAGUAGUUAAGUUAGUACGGCGUUGAGACGUUGCCGACGGACGACGACGAGGGAGAGG